RNAcentral lists this ribosomal RNA (465 nucleotides) under uncultured Klebsiella sp. Its description in RNAcentral is "bacterial SSU rRNA". It matches the Rfam family "Bacterial small subunit ribosomal RNA", at positions 338 to 795 of the family's 1533-position model. Lineage: Bacteria; Pseudomonadati; Pseudomonadota; Gammaproteobacteria; Enterobacterales; Enterobacteriaceae. The record is from RNAcentral.
CCUACGGGGGGCAGCAGUGGGGAAUAUUGCACAAUGGGCGCAAGCCUGAUGCAGCCAUGCCGCGUGUGUGAAGAAGGCCUUCGGGUUGUAAAGCACUUUCAGCGGGGAGGAAGGCGGUGAGGUUAAUAACCUCAUCGAUUGGCGUUACCCGCAGAAGAAGCACCGGCUAACUCCGUGCCAGCAGCCGCGGUAAUACGGAGGGUGCAAGCGUUAAUCGGAAUUACUGGGCGUAAAGCGCACGCAGGCGGUCUGUCAAGUCGGAUGUGAAAUCCCCGGGCUCAACCUGGGAACUGCAUUCGAAACUGGCAGGCUAGAGUCUUGUAGAGGGGGGUAGAAUUCCAGGUGUAGCGGCGAAAUGCGUAGAGAUCUGGAGGAAUACCGGUGGCGAAGGCGGCCCCCUGGACAAAGACUGACGCUCAGGUGCGAAAGCGUGGGGAGCAAACAGGAUUAGAUACCCUUGUAGUC